This 447-nucleotide ribosomal RNA is filed under the name uncultured Chloroflexota bacterium. RNAcentral's name for it is "bacterial SSU rRNA". It matches the Rfam family "Bacterial small subunit ribosomal RNA", at positions 28 to 507 of the family's 1533-position model. The record is from RNAcentral. Lineage: Bacteria; Bacillati; Chloroflexota.
GAUAAACGUUGGCGGCGUGCCUAAUGCAUGCAAGUCGCACGAGAAGCCACCUUCGGGUGGUGGACAGUGGCGGACGGGUGAGUAACACGUAGGAACCUGCCCAGAAGUGGGGGACAACUCCUCGAAAGAGGAGCUAAUACCGCAUACGGUCUUCGGACCAAAGCUUUCGAGCGCUUCUGGAGGGGCCUGCGGCGGAUUAGCUAGUUGGUGGGGUAACGGCCUACCAAGGCGACGAUCUGUAGCUGGUCUGAGAGGACGGUCAGCCACACUGGGACUGAGACACGGCCCAGACUCCUACGGGAGGCAGCAGCAAGGAAUUUUGCACAAUCGACGAAAGUCGGAUGCAGCAACGCCGCGUGGGGGAAGAAGGCCUUCGGGUCGUAAACCCCUUUUGCGAGGGAAGAAGAUCUGACGGUACCUCGCGAAUAAGUCACGGCUAACUACGUG